AUCGAUAAUCCACGUUAAUUUUCACUUUAAUUUGAAACCUAUAUACCACCAUACUAAGAAUUAAUUCCAAAAUAUUUCUUUAAAAACAAAUAAAAUAUUAGGUCAAGGUGUAAUUUAUAUUAAAGAAUAAAUGAGUUACAUUAAAUAAAAUUUAAAGAUUAUUUAUAAAUAUAUAUAUAUAAAUAAGAAUUUAAAAGCAAUAUUUAAAUAAUAUUAUAAUAUGAUAUAGAAAAUAAAUGUGUACACAUCGCCC
RNAcentral lists this ribosomal RNA (253 nucleotides) under Draconarius sp. ZZ469. RNAcentral's name for it is "partial 12S ribosomal RNA". The record is from RNAcentral. Lineage: Eukaryota; Metazoa; Arthropoda; Arachnida; Araneae; Agelenidae.